Molecule: ribosomal RNA, 806 nt
Filed under: uncultured soil bacterium
Lineage: Bacteria
Description: bacterial SSU rRNA
Rfam family: Bacterial small subunit ribosomal RNA
Source: RNAcentral
GGCGAACGGGUGAGUAACGCGUUGGUGACCUGCCCCGAAGAGGGGGAUAACAGUCCGAAAGGAUUGCUAAUACCCCAUAUGGUCGUUUGGAUUAGAAGCCUUACGACUAAACGGAUUUAUUCGCUUCGGGAGGGGCCUGCGUCCCAUCAGCUAGUUGGUAAGGUAAUGGCUUACCAAGGCGAUGACGGGUAGGGGACCUGAGAGGGUGGCCCCCCACAAUGGAACUGAAACACGGUCCAUACACCUACGGGUGGCAGCAGUAGGGAAUAUUGGUAAUCUGGGAAACCGGGAGCCAGCAACGCCGCGUGCGCGAUGAAGGCCUUCGGGUUGUAAAGCGCUUUUUGAAGGGAUGAGGAAGGACAGUACCUUCAGAAUAAGCCUCGGCUAACUACGUGCCAGCAGCCGCGGUAAAACGUAGGAGGCGAGCGUUAUCCGGAUUUACUGGGCGUAAAGCGUGUGUAGGCGGUAUGAUAAGUUGGAUGUGAAAGCUCCCGGCUCAACUGGGAGAGGUCGUUCAAAACUGUCAGACUAGAGAGUGGUAGAGGGAGGUGGAAUUCCGCGUGUAGUGGUGGAAUGCGUAGAUAUGCGGAGGAACACCAGUGGCGAAAGCGGCCUCCUGGACCAUUUCUGACGCUCAGACACGAAAGCUAAGGUAGCAAACGGGAUUAGAGACCCCGGUAGUCUUAGCUGUAAACGAUGUGAACUUAGUGUCGGUGGGGUUAAAUCCAUCGGUACUGAAGCUAACGCGAUAAGUUCACCGCCUGAGGACUACGGCCGCAAGGUUAAAACUCAAAGGAAUUGACGGA